GGUUGCGAUCAUACCAGCACUAAUGCACCGGAUCCCAUCAGAACUCUACAGUUAAGCGUGUUUGGGCGAGAGUAGUACUAGGAUGGGUGACCCCCUGGGAAGUCCUCGUGUUGCAACCC
RNAcentral lists this ribosomal RNA (119 nucleotides) under Helianthus annuus (common sunflower). Lineage: Eukaryota; Viridiplantae; Streptophyta; Magnoliopsida; Asterales; Asteraceae. The record is from RNAcentral.